This 77-nucleotide transfer RNA is filed under the name Candidatus Saccharibacteria bacterium RIFCSPHIGHO2_12_FULL_41_12. RNAcentral's name for it is "tRNA-Pro". It matches the Rfam family "tRNA". From Rfam's summary of the family: Transfer RNA (tRNA) molecules are approximately 80 nucleotides in length. Their secondary structure includes four short double-helical elements and three loops (D, anti-codon, and T loops). Further hydrogen bonds mediate the characteristic L-shaped molecular structure. tRNAs have two regions of fundamental functional importance: the anti-codon, which is responsible for specific mRNA codon recognition, and the 3' end, to which the tRNAs corresponding amino acid is attached (by aminoacyl-tRNA synthetases). tRNAs cope with the degeneracy of the genetic code in two manners: having more than one tRNA (with a specific anti-codon) for a particular amino acid; and 'wobble' base-pairing, i.e. permitting non-standard base-pairing at the 3rd anti-codon position. RNAcentral also lists the same sequence under 1 other name. Lineage: Bacteria; Candidatus Saccharimonadota. The record is from RNAcentral.
CGGGGUGUGGCGCAGUUGGCUAGCGCGGACGGUUUGGGACCGUCAGGUCGAAGGUUCGAGUCCUUUCACCCCGACCA